RNAcentral lists this ribosomal RNA (263 nucleotides) under uncultured bacterium. Its description in RNAcentral is "partial 16S ribosomal RNA". It matches the Rfam family "Bacterial small subunit ribosomal RNA", at positions 92 to 353 of the family's 1533-position model. The record is from RNAcentral.
UUAGUGGCGGACGGGUGAGUAACGCGUGGGUAACCUGCCUCACACUGGGGGAUAACAGUUAGAAAUAGCUGCUAAUACCGCAUAAGCGCACGGUUCCGCAUGGAACAGUGUGAAAAACUCCGGUGGUGUGAGAUGGACCCGCGUCUGAUUAGCCAGUUGGCGGGGUAACGGCCCACCAAAGCGACGAUCAGUAGCCGGCCUGAGAGGGUGACCGGCCACACUGGGACUGAGACACGGCCCAGACUCCUACGGGAGGCAGCAUG